This 676-nucleotide ribosomal RNA is filed under the name Streptomyces gilvifuscus. Its description in RNAcentral is "bacterial SSU rRNA". It matches the Rfam family "Bacterial small subunit ribosomal RNA", at positions 59 to 753 of the family's 1533-position model. The record is from RNAcentral. Lineage: Bacteria; Bacillati; Actinomycetota; Actinomycetes; Kitasatosporales; Streptomycetaceae.
CAGUCGACGAUGAACCACUUCGGUGGGGAUUAGUGGCGAACGGGUGAGUAACACGUGGGCAAUCUGCCCUUCACUCUGGGACAAGCCCUGGAAACGGGGUCUAAUACCGGAUACGACUACCGAGGGCAUCCUUGGUGGUGGAAAGCUCCGGCGGUGAAGGAUGAGCCCGCGGCCUAUCAGCUUGUUGGUGAGGUAAUGGCUCACCAAGGCGACGACGGGUAGCCGGCCUGAGAGGGCGACCGGCCACACUGGGACUGAGACACGGCCCAGACUCCUACGGGAGGCAGCAGUGGGGAAUAUUGCACAAUGGGCGAAAGCCUGAUGCAGCGACGCCGCGUGAGGGAUGACGGCCUUCGGGUUGUAAACCUCUUUCAGCAGGGAAGAAGCGAAAGUGACGGUACCUGCAGAAGAAGCGCCGGCUAACUACGUGCCAGCAGCCGCGGUAAUACGUAGGGCGCAAGCGUUGUCCGGAAUUAUUGGGCGUAAAGAGCUCGUAGGCGGCUUGUCACGUCGAUUGUGAAAGCCCGAGGCUUAACCUCGGGUCUGCAGUCGAUACGGGCUAGCUAGAGUGUGGUAGGGGAGAUCGGAAUUCCUGGUGUAGCGGUGAAAUGCGCAGAUAUCAGGAGGAACACCGGUGGCGAAGGCGGAUCUCUGGGCCAUUACUGACGCUGAGGAG